Molecule: ribosomal RNA, 506 nt
Filed under: uncultured eukaryote
Lineage: Eukaryota
Description: SSU rRNA
Rfam family: Eukaryotic small subunit ribosomal RNA
Source: RNAcentral
UCAAGGUUAAGCCAUGCAUGUCUCAAUAAGUAUUUUUCCCGCGAAGCUGCGAAUGGCUCAUUAAAACAGUUAUAGUUUAUGCGGUUGUGACUCUUUAUAUGAAUAACUAUACCAAUUGUAGAGCUAAUGCAUGCAUAAUAGUCCCCACUAUAUUAUGAAGGGGCGUUUUUAUUAGGUACAGAGCCAUCACUAACUUUACCGUUAGAAAAUGUAGAUGAUUCAUAAUGACUGUACGGAUCGCCAUCACUGGCGACAAUCUGUUCACGUUUCUGACCUAUCAGCUUUCGACGGUAGGGUAUUGUCCUAUCGUGGCGUUGACGGGUAACGGAGAAUUAGGGUUCGAUUCCGGAGAGGGAGCCUGAGAAACGGCUACCACAUCUAAGGAAGGCAGCAGGCGCGUAAAUUACCCAAUCCUGACGCAGGGAGGUAGUGACAAGAAAUAACAAUACAGCGCAACAAUGCGUUGUCUUUGGAAUGAGUAUAAUUUAAAAGGCUAUGCGAUUCAU